CCUACGGGAGGCAGCAGUGAGGAAUAUUGGUCAAUGGCCGUAAGGCUGAUGCAGCAAUGCCGCGUGAAGGAAGAAGGGUUUCGGCUCGUAAACUUCUAUUAUCAGGGACGAAAGAAAUGACGGUAUCUGAAUACGAAGCUACGGCUAACUACGUGCCAGCAGCCGCGGUAAUACGUAGGUGGCAAGCGUUAGCCGGAUUUACUGGGUGUAAGGGGUGAGUAGGCGGCAUGGUAAGCCAGAUGUGAAGGCCUUGGGCCUAACCAGAGGAGUGCAAUUGGGACUAUCAAGCUAGAGUACAGGAGAGGAGAGAGGAAUGUGUAGUGUAGCGGUGAAAUGCGUAGAUAUUAGGAAGAACACCAGUUGCGAAGGCGGCUUACGGAACUGAAACUGACGCUGAGGCACGAAAGCGUGGGGAGCAAACAGGAUUAGAUACCCCAGUAGUC
This 443-nucleotide ribosomal RNA is filed under the name uncultured bacterium. RNAcentral's name for it is "partial 16S ribosomal RNA". It matches the Rfam family "Bacterial small subunit ribosomal RNA", at positions 338 to 795 of the family's 1533-position model. The record is from RNAcentral.